This is a long non-coding RNA of Paramisgurnus dabryanus, 524 nucleotides long. RefSeq lists it as uncharacterized. Lineage: Eukaryota; Metazoa; Chordata; Actinopteri; Cypriniformes; Cobitidae. The record is from RefSeq and is a predicted model, not a curated record.
UGUUAGAUGUCGCUGUAGAUUUAGCAGCACUGUACUGUAAAAAUCCACAGUACUAUACUGUAUGUGUACAUUACAGUAAAGUACUGCAGUUCAUAGUGCAUUCUGGGUAAAUUUGUUUGAGCGGGAAAAUUUUACAGUAUAUUUUGGUCUUGAUGUAACCUUGCUGUAGCCAUUGCUGUAAUGUGCCAGGUGUACUUGCAAUAAUCAGAGAAAGUGCGCACGAGUCAAAUCACACAGAGGGAGAGAGAGCACAACUCCUGGCUGCAGCUGAAGAAGGAGGACGAUUGAUUUCUGGCAGUUCGCUCUAACGUUACAGUUUGCUCCACUUUGCUCUGUGGUUUAUAUGUUUUCUUCUUACCAUUGCUUGUAAGCUGGAUUGAGUAAGAUGGAUCAUCUUUAAAGGAACCAGGCAAGUACAGGAUGUACAGUUACACGUUACUAGUCAUGUAUUUUUUCGACUGCAAUAUUAAAUGCUUUUACGUCACAUGUAAAAGUACACAGGAAUGUGGCUGAUCACUUUUUAU